GUCGUAUCUUGUUUUUCAAUGUCUUGAAAACAAUCUUAUUAUUGAUAGUCAAAUUCAAAGUCCUCGAUUGUCUGGAUAGAGAUUAACAAUAGCCAACAAACUUGUCACCAUUCAACCCAAGCAACUCAAGUUUACCUGUCAGUAAAUCUCUUCUCAGAAUUAUUGAAUUUGGCAGCUUAUUUUCAGUGAGCAAAUUUUUUCAUGAUAUUUAUAUCCUUCUGUAAUGUUAAACUCAAUUGUUCAUCAUUAUUGUUUUUUAUUGAAUGAUAGAUGCAAAGUAUGCAUAUAGACAAAACCUUGCAUUUGAUCAUAAUUUUGUCAUGCUCCAUGUUUAUCAUUUAUCAUACCUAAUCAUCUAUGUUAGCCAACAUGCACCCUACAACAAAUCUAUGGCAUAUUCCAUUUCAAAUUCACUUUUCGUUUUCUGGUGUUCAUCUAGCACAAUGCACUAGUUCUGUGCAUUUUACAAGAGAGUUUUUUUUAAUUUGCCCUUUGUUGGUUGAAAAUUUUGUACACUUGGGGAAAUAUACAAAACUGUGGUUUCAACCACAGCGUGUGAGUAAAAAUUUCCUAAUUAAGAUAAGGCUCCCCCUAUCAAACUACAACUUUGAAAAUAAAAUAGGAUGGGACAACAAUCUUUCUUCUUCUUUCAAGAAAGACAAUAUCUUUUUUUUGUGAAUAGAAAAGGAUAGCGAUUUGAUAUAAACAACAUUAACCACUUUCAAAAUGAAAUGAGAGAAAAGAAAUGAAGUUUCCUGAAAGUGCAAAGAUUUCCAUCACUUCCUUCGGGACGAGAUAGCAAUAUCAAGCUCAAAGACUUCAUUAUGUGAAGUCCUAUCUACCCUUUUCUAUACUAAUGCUAUAAAGAACAAAUUAUAAUAGUUCAAAGACAGAAACAUCUUAUUCUUUUCUACUUAAAACAAUGGGAAGUAGUAUAAGCUCAAAGACUCACAACUAUUUCUCACAAAAUCUACUCUUAAGUUCUUCUCAACAAAAUAUUUAUUUUGAUCUAUAUUAACUUGAACUAUUUGCAGCACAAAGACUACAAAUCAUAUGUGAUUAAGCUCUUUAAGAAACACUUGCAAGAAAGAUAAUAUUGAACACAAACUCAACAAUGUAGCACAAAGACUCAAAGCUUGAGAAAUUUCCUUCUAUUCCUUUCAAUUCUUGAAUUCACACAUGAAAGCUCAAAGACUUUUUGUUGUAAAUUUCGUAGAGCUUUUGUUGGCUUUCCAAAAAGAUAAAAAUUACAAUAGACCCCUCAAGUAUUUAUAGAAGAGGAGCCUUGAGAAAAAGGUGGGAGGAUCCUAACUAACUUGAGAGAUUCUCUCAACCACCAAGACUUAUUCAAUAACUAACUAAGAUUUCAAUAAUUAACUAAGACGUCAAUAAGUAACUAAGACUUAUUCCAACUAUAGUCCUAAUUGAACACAACUUGUAAUUGCUUUACAUGUAAUUGCAAAAGUGCAAGUAAAGAGUUAACUUGCAUUUUACAAAAAGACUUUUACACGAAACUUGUCAAAAGAAAAACUACAACUAAAGAUUACAAAUGUGGAAAAAUACAACUAAGUGUUGAAAAACACUUAAGUUGCAUUACGUGAAGACACGAAUCCUUCAAACUUUUGGAUGAUCAUUUGUAGUUCAUCGGGAUUGUAUCAUGGGUGUUCUUGGCAACAACCAUGGUCUUCACAAUGGUAUCAUGGCAUCGGAGGAGCGCAUAGCUAUUUUUCUCUAGGAGGGACUGGAUUUCAUGCAAAAAGAUUUGUUGUUUCAUCAAAAUUUGAAUUGAAGCGGUUGAGAAUUGUUAACUCCUCUAUUUAUUAUGUAUCCUCAUCUAUAAAUCAGCAAGAACUUCUUCUAGAAUCAGCUCUCCAUCCUGACUUAGUAUGUUGCAAGAAGCUUUUUCACAAUGAGAGACAAUAUCUUAGAAAACUUCACCCCCUAAUCUCAUUGUAUCACCAAUCUCCUCAAUGAGGUAUUUAAGAACAAGGGACUUAUUUUCUAGAAGCUCUUCAAAUUUCAAGUGCAUGACCCUGGAAGAGAUGAUGACAUGCUCUAGUAGAACGCUCAACUGUUGUUGGGGCAUGGUAUGCCAGAUUUUUAAACUAUCUUCAACACUUUCUAGAUUCUUUUUGAAAAUAUCGAAAGUCUGAUCUAGUUUCUCUUCAACGGUUUCCAACUUAGACAUCAUCUGAAAAAUGUCCUUCAUUACUUGUGCACAUAGAUAAUGAAGUUGAUCAACCUAAGAAUUCAAUGCUUGUACCUUUUGAGCAGCCCUUUCCACUCCAGGAAUUGAUUCUUGGGAACCAGAAGAACCUAUGGAGUUACUCCCUUCAGCAGCAGGUUUUGUGAUUUUAUGAACAACUGCCAUAAGUUGUCGGUUUUCUUCUUCUAGCUUUUCUUUCUUUUUUAGCAGUUCAUCACACCGCUGUACUUGUGAAGCUACAAAAAAUAGGGCAUCAUGUUUAAUCACCUCAUGCGUUUGCUUACCCAAUUCUAUCCUUGUAACUUUGUAAUCAGCAGUUGACAUUUCUUCAAAUGACUUAUCUGCAAUGGGUUCAAGAAUUUCAGCUACCUUCAUCUUGUUGUUGUCAAUAGUUAUUCUAGAGAUAGUCUUGGCCUUUUUAGCAACCUUGGAUCUUGACUAUUUUAGUUGUUGAUAAUUAAAGACAUCAGGUGAGAUUUCUCACUUCUUCCAUUUUGGAGUAAAAGAACUAAGCCAUGGAGGUAAAGUCAUCAACUCUCCUUCAAUAGCAGCCGUAGGCAAAGGAGAAGCAGUUUCUGUUUGAAUAACUGUGGUCAUCCUGGGAGGAAUAUUUGUUUGGAUUGCGACCACAGUUUGCUCAGUAACCAAUGGGCAUGAAGAUUGCCUCAUGAAUUCUUCAAAACCAGAAGUGGAGGUAUCAAUUUUUUGACAGUUGGACACAAGUAGGAAUAUCUUCAGGAACUUCUCGCACACUCUCUUGUUGAUGAUCAGGAGGUGGCUCGUAUGCCGAAAUAAGAAUGGCAUUUUGAGGAGAUUCAUCAACAAGCAAGUUAGGAGGAGAAAGGGGUGUCUCAAUGGAAACUGGGGGAAUAAUCUCAUGAGGCGAGUCGGAUGCUGGAGACUUGGGAGCAUCAUCAGAUUGUUGCCCUUCUUCUGGAUUAUCUAGAUCGAUCACCUGAACAUGAAAUCGUGACUUUUCUUUUCCACGAACUGUCGCCUCCUCAGGAGGAAGCACUACUGCUCGACUAACUCGCAAUUUGAUCUUUGUGCCCAAAGAUGAUGCGUCUUCCUUGUUGUCAACCUGAAUCUUAGACUUACGUCCAAGAGGCCCCAUAAAAUCAUCUUCUUUUCCAAUCUUGAUUAUUAUGAGUCUAAUAGCAUUACUUUUCAACCAAGCGUUGGUGUUAGCCAAGAUAGGCUGAAAUCUCUCAAGAAUGGAUAUGCACUCCUUGUGUGACCAUUGGAUUAAAGGAAGUGGAGCUUCCUCAACCCUUCGUGAAAUAUAUUCAGGAUCAAGUAUGUGCCCAUUAUCAAUCAUCCCUUGUGGAGUAUCCACCAAGUUUAAAUCAACAACCUGCUCAACAGCGAACCUGCAAUAAUCCAUCUUUAAAACCUUGACCUCUGUGCGGAGAUCUACCCAGAUAUCCUCAAUGCGAUGCACGUGCACAUGAUUUUUUGAUCUUCUCCUUCAUACCCUAGUAAUCAAAAUCAGCCCUAAACUUAAACCUUUUGAGCUUAAUUUCCUGCAUUUCAGUCUCCAUGGCCUUGGCUUUAACGUAUGUGACAAGAAAAUACCGACCAAUUUUUAAUGGGUUUGUUGUGGAGAUCCCCAUUCCAACCUUAUGUUUGGUAGACUGAUGAGUAUGGACAGCCAUGAUUUGUCUUCCCAACUCCAUAAGAAUGAUCUUAUUAGUUGGGUAUCUAAAAAGCAUGUAUUGCUGCCCACUAUAACAUCCGAUUCUCAUAUAGGUGAAGGUCGAGAACUGUGGAAACAAACAUCCAUACUCACUCACCCUUUCCCAUGCCUCAUCUGAUACCCUUUUGUUCUUCAGAGGUAUGUCAAAAUGACACAUGAAGUAACCAAAGAAUGCAUCUUGGACUCUUCUGAAAUGCAAUUUGUUGGAUCUCAAAGGCAACUGAUCAUAGUAUUCCCAAACUGGUAUAAGUGAGUGAUCACCCUUGGUAGAAAGACCUGGAAAAUGUCUAAGGGAUGCUGCCAAGUACACCAAGUAUGAAUUCAUAUAGAAAGUCAUGGUGGAAGGAACUGCUGCAAGUUGUUCACACAAGACAUCGUUGAUGACUUCUCCCCAUGAUAUAUGAUGGGACUGCCUUAUGAACAUGAUACACUGGUACAUCCAGGACUCAAAAACAUUAGAAUAUUCAAGGCCCAUUAUCUUGCUGAGGAGGGUUAUGAUGUCUCCUAUUUCCCAUUUGAAGUCACAACAGUACAACUUAGCCCACCUUGAGAAGACGGCUCGUGGCUUUUGGAUCCACCUGUUGAUAUGUCGUUUACAAUCUUUUUCCCUUUUCACAUAAUACUUAGCUGCACUCUCUUUGUAGAUUUCCAUGUAAACAGGUGCGAGAGGUAUUCUAAAGACCUUCUCAAUUGUGUCUGGAUCAAGGCAGAUUAUUGCUUCGCCAUCAUCAUUUUUAAUUAUUUUUGCGUCCUUGUCAAAGUGAUGGGCGCAAGCGAGAACAAAUUCAGGUUCUAGGGCAGCCACCGGGAAAGAAGAUGCAUGAUGGAUAUGGUUGUCCAACAACUGCUGCAUAUUGCUAUCUUGUGGAUCCUCAACCCUUUUGACAAAUUUUAACAUGUCUAAAUCCCUAUCUCUGUAUCUCUGAUACGAUCCAAAGGAGAGGAAACUUGGGAAGGUGCAACUUCGUUUUGGUACUUGUUAUAUUUGUACUUCAUCUUUUUUGGAAUUGGAGAUGACGACAAAUUUGACAUUGAUGGACAACUUGGAAUACUGUGAUGAAGACUUAAAAGCGUUAAGGCAACAUCAUAUUCAGCUGCAAAUAACAUUUUUGCCUUCUUCAAAUGGUAAAAACUUCGACUCUUGAGCUUCACGAUUUUGAGAGAGAAAGAGCUGAAAUAAAUGGAAAUGGGGGAAUCUUGACUUUAACCAAUUUCGAGUCUUGGGGAAAUUUUCGCAAGUAUACAAUUUGGAAAGGGCAUACAUGCAAUCGGAUUUUUAAAACCCGAAUGCAAGUACACUUGUAAAUUUGCAAAUGGAGAAAUGGAUGGAAAAUGAGAAUUAGACUUGCGGAAAAUGAUGAAAAUGGAAAGUAUGUAUAUGGUUGACAUGAAUGGAUAAAAAUGGGAAAAUCCGAGAAUGUCAUUUUCAUGAAAAUGGGAAGAACUUUUCAACAUGUAAUCCGGUUUUUAAAACCUGAUUUUGAAAGGGUAUUUCACAUUUUUUCAACUUGGAAUUUUAACAGAAAAUGGUUAAAUUCUUUAACCGUAAGGGAAGAACAAAGAUUUCCAGCCAACUUGCAAUCGGGAUUUAAAAUCUCGAAUACAAGUAAAGAGGGAAAAUGGUGAAGAACAAUACAAUUUUUGGAUUGCAUAUCAAGGGGGAAAAACUCUCUCACAAAACCGAUUUUUGAGACAAGAACAACAUAUUUACAAAUUUACAACUAGAAAGGAAAACUAAGAAAACAAGAAAAUAAGAAAAUGAAACAAGGAAAGAAAAGAAAAUAUAUGUUGUUUCAAACUGAAAAUGCCUCUCCAAAAGAUGCAAUCAAUCUUGGAAUGAAGAAGAAUAGCUCUUAAAUAAACACAAACCGCAAUCCCAAACACUAGCCAUGUUUUUGAAAAUCGUCUUUAGCAGCAAAACCGUGGUUGAAGAUACAACAAAAUAGGGUCAAAUCGCUAAGGAAAUACCAUGUAGGAGAGUACCAAAGCCAAACACCCAAGGAUGAAGUGAAAUCGUGGCACCAAAACCCCAAGAUGUGGCUUGGAAGAAUCAUGUGAAAAAUGGUUUUGAAGAAGUAAAACGCAGUAAAUGAAGUGUAAACCGUUUACCAAAUCACAUGCAACGUGUUUCCAAACUCACAAAAAUCGCAUUGCAAUCAUAUUGCCUCCUUUAUUUAAUGAAUUUCUCCACAAAAAUCGGGAAGAAUUUGUGGCAAAAUCAGUUUAGGAGAGGAAAAAUACUUGGUCGGGUUUUUGGAAGUGAAUAACAAGUUUCAAUUUGCAUGAAACAAUGAAAAUCGGGUUUUUGGAGGAAAUAACAAGUUUAAAAUGCACUUUUUCAACUAUAACGCAAAAAUCAGGUUUUUUGGAUGAAAUAGCAAGUUUAAAAUUUUUGAAAUUGCAUUUAAUAGGCAAAAUUGGGUUUUUUGGAUCAAAUAGCAAGUUUGAAAUGCACUUUUCUCAUUCUAUAGGCAAAAUCGGGUUUUGGAGAGAGAUGUGCAAGUUUAAAAUCACUUGUAAAGGGAAAAUAAAAUUCCUACAACAAGUUAUAAUUCACUUGCACACAUGUAAUAGGGGUUAAAAAUCCCUAUUACAAGCAAAAACCAUUAAAGCAGGGGUUUUAGAAAAGAACUACAAGUUUAUUUGUAACUUAACCAAAAAAUCCCUAUAUUUAUUGAAAAAGCAAAAAAACAUCAAGGGGGAAAUAAAAAACAAAUUACAAGUUUUUAUUUUUCAAUAAAGUGCACUUGUAAUUAGCCAAAAAUUUCCUUACAAAGACCAAAACAAUGGAAAUCAUUAAAACUUGCAAUUCAAAGAAAAUUCUCCACCUGCAGUCAGGGAGAAAAAACCUGAAAUUGAAGGAAAGACAUAGCAAACGAACCUUGAAUGCGAUGAAAUUCGAAAAGUAGUUCGAGGAUGGACUAAGGAUUAAGUCAGUGUCACGAACCCUAUUUUUCCAUAAUUAUUUAAUUAGGAAAAUAAUGUUUAUUUUUCAAAUGAAAUGAAAAUAGAAUUGUUAAUGAAAUAAGAAAGGAUAUCGAAUGUACUGAUAUGAUUUAUAUACAAUUAAAUGAUCAGUGAUAAUUUUUAUUGUAAAUUGGGAUUGUCAUUGCUAAUGAGCGAUUGAGUGCAAAGUGAAUGCAGGAACAGGUGAACAAUGAUGAAGACGAGAACAUGGUUCAGAUUAUAUUUCAAGAGGGAUAUAGGCGCCUUCACACGAAACAAGGUGGGCUUUACCUGGUGACUGCAGGGCUAGAGUGUUUGGCAUGCUGUAGAUGGCGGAGACGGAGACAGUGCAGAGCCCAAUGCAAGAAAACCCUAAAGCAGGGCCGUCAAAACAGGAGCUCUCGGUUAGCGUCCCUUGCAAGCAGUUGGCAUUUGGGGCUGAAGCCAUACGACAUGGAGGGGUAGACGUGUAGCUUCGGUGGGUUUUAUGGGCAGAUUUUACUGUUUUUUUGUAUGUAUGGGAUGGGCAAUGGUUGUGCAUCCUACCUGGACACCAGUUUCCUUAACAACAGUGAGUGAAUAUAUCAAAGAUCGAGAAGCGUUUUUGAUAGAGCACUCUCAAUCUAUAAGAGGCAUGGUAUGCGACAGAAAGGACAAGAUUAAUACACAGUUGAUCGAUGCUCUUCCUUGUUUGGAGACUGUGGCCACCAGCAGCGUUGGAGUGGAUAAGGUUGAUUUGGCCAAGAGCAGGCAGUGCAACAUUGCGGUGGUCUAUACUCCUGAUGUGUUGACUGAUGUAGUGGCGGAUUUGGCCAUCGCUCUUGUGCCUGAUACCCUUCGUCGCAUUUCAUCUUCUGAUUGCUAUGUUCGCCAGGGCCUGUGGCAGAGUAAGGGAGACUACAAGCUAAGUUGCAAGGUGCCACAUCUACAAAUAAGCAGCUCUGUAAAUAAGUUGGAAGCGGGAGAGGGUUAACACGGUUCCUGGCAGGCUGCAAUGAAUAAUAUCCAAGCUCUACAACUCUCGUGACAUCUCUGCACUUCAAUCCAAUUUUGGUUAUGGACCUCUGCUGCACAAGAAAGCAAGUAGGAGGAAAACGAUUUUGCCAAUGCAAAGGAGAAUGAUGGAAAAUAGAGUUUCAGGCUAUCAGCUGAAUGCACCGUUUCUCAAGAGAUAUCCAAGAAAAACUAGAAGUGCAAUAAUGACUAGAGAGGUGAAUUCUGAAGCUUCCAGAGUGAAUUGCAUUUUUUGUCAAUUCCUUAAAACUCUCGUUAUUAAUGGAACCAAUUUUAAGCAAGAAAAAGACGUUGCAAUAUAAUGGAAUUAGAGUGAAGCAGAAUGUUGUUCCAAUAUGGUAAUUUACCUGUUGGCUAUAUGAUGAUUUUGAAGGGGACCUUAUCACUUCUACAAUGAAUUGUUUUAGAUAGAGAAUUGGAAUGUAGAUCCAAUACUUAUGGUGCAGUUAUGUUCCACACAAUGUUGUGAUACAUGGGCUGAGCUUGCAAAUAACUCUUCAGAACUCAAUAUUAUCAUCUAUAACAGACGAAUAAGUUGAUGUGCUCUUUGUUUCCUUCAAGGCUCAGAAAAUGGACAAAAACAUUGUGUGGGACUAAACUAUAAUUUCAGGUGUUGAGUCAAUAUUCCAAACCUGAAGCAUUUCUAUGGGUGCAAUCUCUUACACCACCCUAGUAUGCAAACUUUCAAAUAAAUCAAUGUCUUCAAAUAUAGUUUUUAUCUUUUUCAUUGGUCAAAUCAUCACAGCCAUUGUCAAAUGGGUUAAUAAUAACAAGAAAGACAUCUUCAGUUGGACUAGACUUGGAUAACAAGAAAAACAUCUUCAAUUGGACAGGACUUGGAGCCAUGAAAAUCUAUGAAUUCUGAGUAGUAAUUUACUUGUUGGAUAUAUGAUGAUUUUGAAGAGGGCCUUAUCAGUUCUGUAAUUAAAUGUUUUAGAGAGAGAAUUGGAAUAUAGAUCUGAUACUUAUGUUGCACUUA
RNA transcript from Cryptomeria japonica (Japanese cedar), 8841 nucleotides. RefSeq lists it as uncharacterized. The record is from RefSeq and is a predicted model, not a curated record. The transcript is spliced from 4 exons. Lineage: Eukaryota; Viridiplantae; Streptophyta; Pinopsida; Cupressales; Cupressaceae.